GGCCCAGAUGGGUCUAGAAAAUUAUGCAAAAACAACAACAAAACAUAUUGGUAGACGUCACUUUUCAAUUUCAAUUUCAGAGUCCCACACCCUUAAAAACCCUAAUCUCAAUCAAUCAAGCAAGGAGUAGGAAACCUCAAAUGAAUUCAUAGACUAAAAUAGUCUCAGAGUGAAGAAGGAAGGAGUAGGAAGACAAGCCACAUCAGGCAUAGGCUUAGGGGGGUGGUAGGAAAUUCGUACCUCUAAAUCGUGGCAAAUGGAAAUGCUCAGGAUAUGCUUUGUUAUGAUCACCAUUGCCCUCGUCUUCUCUCUGUUGCUUCCUUCCGCCAAUGCUGCUCAAGUUCCUGCCCCUGCACCUUCCCCAUCAAGCGAUGGUAUGCUCCAUCCCCUCUCUCCAAAGUUUUUGGCAACAUUUUUCUCUUCCGCUGGUUUUAGGGCUGCAAAUCUCAAGGUCUCAUGUUUAGCGUUCUCUUGCAUAAUUUAUGUGACAAGUGCUGCUGAUUCUAAUCUGGUGUAAAAAUUUCUUUCUGCUGCAGGGGUUUCGGUUGAUCAAGGAAUAGCAUAUGUCCUGAUGCUUGUUGCUCUGGCAGUUACCUACAUUUUUCACUAAAGAGUACAUAGACAAUUCUGCUCUGUAUUUCAGCUCAACUCAUCUUAGAUAAUGAGAUCCUGUCUUUU
This 678-nucleotide long non-coding RNA is filed under the name Coffea arabica (coffee). RNAcentral describes it as "long non-coding RNA (CARA_LNC004501)". The record is from RNAcentral. Lineage: Eukaryota; Viridiplantae; Streptophyta; Magnoliopsida; Gentianales; Rubiaceae.